Molecule: transfer RNA, 77 nt
Filed under: Aggregicoccus sp.
Lineage: Bacteria; Pseudomonadati; Myxococcota; Myxococcia; Myxococcales; Myxococcaceae
Also listed under: 3 other names
Description: tRNA-Arg
Rfam family: tRNA
About the family: Transfer RNA (tRNA) molecules are approximately 80 nucleotides in length. Their secondary structure includes four short double-helical elements and three loops (D, anti-codon, and T loops).
Source: RNAcentral
GCUCCGGUAGCUCAGCUGGAUAGAGCAUCGGCCUUCUAAGCCGAGGGUCGUGGGUUCGAGUCCCGCCCGGGGCGCCA